UGUGAAAUUUUCAACUCUUUGCGUUCAUGCCUUCUCUAUUUGUGACGUCACAUUUUCUACGGAGAACGUUUGGUAUUAAUGUUUAUCCUAAAACCAUGGGAAUUCAUACUGAUACGGACUUCUGCAAGUAUCGCUUUGCUGUUUACGAACAGACGGUUUUGAUUUCAUCAUUCCUGCCACCAAUUUUUUUGCUAGGAACUUCAUUUCGUUUAGUGGGAAAAAUGGCAGAAACGGGGGAUAAUCCUCGGGAUAGAAGAAUUAUGGUGGCUGUGGACGAGAGCGAAGAAAGCAUGUAUGCCUUGUCAUGGGCCAUCGAUUUUCUGCGCAUUCAGCCCACCGACACCAUUAUUCUACUGCACGCACAACCGCUUCCUAGGGUUUACUCAGCUAUUGAUGUUACAUAUUCACAUAUGAUAUGGCGCAGUCCUUGCAAAAGUACUAGGAGAGAAUCACUGAAGAUGUAUUCCAAAGGGCCAAAAACAUUUCCACAGAGAAAAACGUAAAAAUGUGUUUACAGACCAGAAUUGCUUGUGGGGGAUGCGAGGGAUGUUAAUUGUGAGGAAGCUGAGAAAGUUAGGGCAGACUUGGUGGUGAUUGGAAGCCAUGGCUACGGCGCCAUAAAGAGGACUGAGAUUAUUAGUUCCUGCCGGGAACUAUAGCGAAGGCUUCUUUCCUUAUCUUCUGAUUAAACGGAUUGCAAACAGCCAAUAAGAAGACCUGUGUUUUUUGAUAUUUUUCCAUUUCCUUAUGUGCAUACUUAUAGCUGCGUAUUGUUUAUGCCAAAUGCUGAUGUCAGUAUUCUUGGCGCCUGCUGAUUAGGGUUGCUGGCGGUUUGCAGAGGUCUUCUCAGUUCCCAACGGGAGAGAACGCACCAAAAACAAGGGACUUUGUCAGUGCCUUGCAGGGUCUUGCAGGGUUAUUAUUCCGAGCACAAGAUGGCAUUCGUUCAAUAAUCCACAUGCCUUGACUGUGCUUUCACAUUUUGCGUACCCAUCUAGACGUGGCGAGGGGCUGUGCUUUGAGGGGUUGUUUCUUCCGCUUCUUCAUUCGCAGAGUGAGGACAUAUGCAGAGUGGAUGGUUGAUUCCAGUUAGGGUUUCAAAUAGCACUUUGUUAAGGAAGUGAGAAAAUGAAGUUUCAGAAGCAGCUAGAAGCGCAGCUUGUUGCAGAGUGGAUAAAUGCUUAUGUGAAUUACAAGCAGCUCAAGAAGGAUAUCAAACAAAUUAGAGAGCAGAUUGCAAGCAAAGAAGACCACCCUGUCACCAAUAAACAUUCUGCUUCUUCUUUUCUGAUUGUACAUCAUGAAAUUCGAGAAAACAGUAACGGUGGUAUGGAGAUGGUGUAUAUAACAGAGUGAGAGACUUCUGUUCCCGAUCUAGUUUUGCCACUGCCUGCAAUAUAGCUUUUCUAUGGCCCAGUUUGUGACAGAGGAAACGCUUAAGGCUUGGACCUUCCAUAUUGAUAUUUUUGCCAAGGCAGAGAUGUCCUUAAGCACCACAUUAGAUGAUUUUUUACCUAAGAAAUGAAUUUGGACAAUUUUAACAAGAGCUGGGAGCCUUCGCUUUUGUUUGCUGCAUGUAUAGAUUUGUAAGUUUGAGUCUGUUAGGUUUGCACCAAUUGAAAAUAGAAUAGUAAUAGGCAUUAUGUUUUCUAAAUUAUCAACUGUUUCUGUUUGCGAAUUUCCUACACAUCAUAAUACUUUCUAUAACAUAAAUCAUACUGGGUUUUUGUGUAUUCUAUUUCAUUAUGCCGCAUGAUUCUCAAUUCACCAUUUCAUUAUCUCUGUUACUAUUUUGAUUGUUUACUUUUCCCAAUAAAACCAAGAAUUCGUCAAAUUGCACCCUUACUAGGAGUAGUGGAGUUACCUAUCUAAUGUAACAAAUUAUUUGUUUUGUCACAGAAAUUUGUUUGACAGAAGGAUUCUUCUUUCACUGGGUAGUACUGAAGUGUUUUUGUCACAGGCAAAGCUGUUAUGAAGUCUGGGCAUGCUAGGAGCACUGGAAUUACCUAUCUAAUGUAACAAAAUAUUUGUUUUGUCACAGAAAUUUGUUAGAAGGAUUCUUCUUUCACUGGGUAGUACUGAAGUGUUUUUGACACAGGCGAAGCUGUUAUGAAGUCUGGGCAUGCGUUUCUCCAACAUCAUUCUUUUCUCUUUAUUCUGUGUCUUUCUGGAUAAAGAUUUGCUAUUUUUAACCUAAAUAGUAGGUGGCACCAAAAUAUGGUGAUUGUAGGGUUGCAAAGCCACAAUUUUGUGGUUGGGAAGACACAUCUUUUUGUGUUUUAAAUGACUGGUAUAGGCUCUCUUAUAAUUAGUCAACAAUUCUUUCCUAUAAUCAGUUGACAUUUUCAAAUUGACGUUAUAUCAGUGGAAUAUUAGCAAGUUGCUAUUACAGGGAAAGCUGGGAUGGCCGGUUAGCUGGAAUACCAUUUAUCAUGUUCAUUUAAAUUUUUGCUUUUCAUGUGUAAUAACAAAAGGCAAACAUAUUGCUAGCUGCCAAAACUUGUGAAGAUUUUAACACUGGCUAAGAUGAAUAAAAUACCAAGUUUUUCUUCAA
This is an RNA transcript of Cryptomeria japonica (Japanese cedar), 2554 nucleotides long. RefSeq lists it as uncharacterized. Lineage: Eukaryota; Viridiplantae; Streptophyta; Pinopsida; Cupressales; Cupressaceae. The transcript is spliced from 8 exons. The record is from RefSeq and is a predicted model, not a curated record.